Molecule: ribosomal RNA, 112 nt
Filed under: Propithecus coquereli (Coquerel's sifaka)
Lineage: Eukaryota; Metazoa; Chordata; Mammalia; Primates; Indriidae
Source: RNAcentral
GUGUGUGGCCAAACCACCCUGAACACGACCAAUCUCGUCUGACCUUGGAAGCUAAGUAGGAUUGGGCCUGGUUAGUACUUGGAUGGGAGAUAUAUGGUUUGGACCAAACACA